This 618-nucleotide ribosomal RNA is filed under the name uncultured Lachnospiraceae bacterium. Its description in RNAcentral is "bacterial SSU rRNA". It matches the Rfam family "Bacterial small subunit ribosomal RNA", at positions 97 to 733 of the family's 1533-position model. Lineage: Bacteria; Bacillati; Bacillota; Clostridia; Lachnospirales; Lachnospiraceae. The record is from RNAcentral.
GGCGGACGGGUGAGUAACGCGUGGGUAACCUGCCUCAUACAGGGGGAUAACAGUUAGAAAUGACUGCUAAUACCGCAUAAGACCACGGAGCCGCAUGGCUCGGUGGGAAAAACUCCGGUGGUAUGAGAUGGACCCGCGUCUGAUUAGGUAGUUGGUGGGGUAACGGCCUACCAAGCCGACGAUCAGUAGCCGACCUGAGAGGGUGACCGGCCACAUUGGGACUGAGACACGGCCCAAACUCCUACGGGAGGCAGCAGUGGGGAAUAUUGCACAAUGGGGGAAACCCUGAUGCAGCGACGCCGCGUGAGCGAAGAAGUAUUUCGGUAUGUAAAGCUCUAUCAGCAGGGAAGAAAAUGACGGUACCUGACUAAGAAGCACCGGCUAAAUACGUGCCAGCAGCCGCGGUAAUACGUAUGGUGCAAGCGUUAUCCGGAUUUACUGGGUGUAAAGGGAGCGUAGACGGCUGUGUAAGUCUGAAGUGAAAGCCCGGGGCUCAACCCCGGGACUGCUUUGGAAACUAUGCAGCUAGAGUGUCGGAGAGGUAAGUGGAAUUCCCAGUGUAGCGGUGAAAUGCGUAGAUAUUGGGAGGAACACCAGUGGCGAAGGCGGCUUACUGGA